AGCAGCCGCGGUAAUUCCAGCUCCAAUAGCGUAUAUUAAAGUUGUUGCAGUUAAAAAGCUCGUAGUUGAAUUUCGGGGUUAGUAGGUUGGUCAUGCCUCUGGUAUGUACUGGUCUCACUGAUUCCUCCUUCCUGAUGAGCCGUAAUGCCAUUAAUUUGGUGUUGCGGGGAAACUGGACUGUUACUUUGAAAAAAUUAGAGUGUUCAAAGCAGGCUAACGCUUGAAUACAUUAGCAUGGAAUAAUGAAAUAGGACGUUCGAUCCUAUUUUGUUGGUUUCUAGGAUUGACGUAAUGAUUAAUAGGGAUAGUUGGGGGCAUUAGUAUUCAAUUGUCAGAGGUGAAAUUCUUGGAUUUAUUGAAGACUAACUACUGCGAAAGCAUUUGCCAAGGAUGUUUUCAUUAAUCAAGAACGAAAGUUAGGGGAAUCGAAGACGAUCAGAUACCGUCGUAGUCUUAACCAUAACUAAUGCCGACUAGGGAUCGAUGAUGUUAAUUUUUAAUUGACUUCAUUCGGCGUACC
This 520-nucleotide ribosomal RNA is filed under the name uncultured Glomus. RNAcentral's name for it is "SSU rRNA". It matches the Rfam family "Eukaryotic small subunit ribosomal RNA", at positions 569 to 1099 of the family's 1831-position model. Lineage: Eukaryota; Fungi; Glomeromycota; Glomeromycetes; Glomerales; Glomeraceae. The record is from RNAcentral.